UAAGGCAGGCAUUUCAGCUGGGGAUGCAGGUGUUGGAGAGUACCCCAGACUGACUGCUGCUAGCUGGGGCCAAAAUACCAUGAAACAUCCCCAAGUUUCUAAUGUUGGGGUGUCCUGUGUCCUCUCCCAGCCAGAAUGGUGUCUCAGUUUUCAUCAUGUCCCUGUGAGCUGUGGCCUGGCACUCCUGUGAUGGAAUAGGGUGCUCUGCUGCCUGUCAGCAUCCAAGAACCUUUCUAAAGAGCCUUUUCCUUUCCUCUGUGGACCACCCAAAGUAUUUCACUUUUUUGUGACCUAAAUUUUGUCAAGAGACGAGUAACUAAAUUUUGGCUUGCAUUCAACAACUCCUAAAUGGCAGGGACUUUGCACUUCAGCUGAUCAAAGUGAUGCAGCCUGUAAAUUCUUCCCAAGCAUCCCCACAUCUGCAGAGCUUUAUCUGUAACACUGCUUCAAGCCAUUGUUUUGCCUUUUUUUUUCAAAGCACAGGUUUUGAUGGAACACUGCUGGGGAAGAUUUUCCUCAAUCCAGCCUGGAAUUUCUGGUCUAAAGAAGAGAAAUCAAGCCUCAUCUCCUGGGAAUCCAAAAGUGCUUAAGCAGAGCCUAUUAAGUGUGAGCAGUGAAAGGAGACAGCAGCACAGGGAGAGUCAAACACACUCCAUGGCUGGAAUGCUGUGCAACAGCACAGAGUGGAUGAGAUGGAUAAUGCCCAAAGGAUUCUUGCAAAAUGAUCCAGAGUGGUCUGGGUUUACUCAGAUUUACCCUGGAUAAUGAAUGAAAACAAAAAAAACCCUAAAGACACUUGGAAAUAUAAAAAUCUAAUAAAGGACUUGACCAUUGGGAAGACAAACAAAACAGGGAAGUCACUGGAAAAGCAUAAGGUAAAUUAACAGCUUUGCUUUAUGGUACUGUACAGAGAAUAAAGAAAGAAUAAUUUUAAAUUGCUAAUUUAAAACAUGAUGGUGCCAUUAAAGCAAGUGUAAAUCAACGUGGUACAAGCUGAAA
Molecule: long non-coding RNA, 999 nt
Organism: Passer domesticus (house sparrow)
Lineage: Eukaryota; Metazoa; Chordata; Aves; Passeriformes; Passeridae
Exons: 3
Source: RefSeq, a predicted model, not a curated record